AACGCACCUUGCGCUCCUUGGUAUUCCGAGGAGCAUGCCUGUUUGAGUGUCAUUAAAUUCUCAACCUCACCAGUUUUGUUAUGAGACUGUGUAAGGCUUGGAUGUGGGGGUUUUUGCAGGCUGCCUCUGUGCGGUCUGCUCCCCUGAAAUGCAUUAGCGAGUUCACUAAGCUCCGUCUAUUGGUGUGAUAAUUAUCUACGCCGUGGAAUGGGUUUAGACUUGCUUCUAACCGUCUGCAAAGACAACUUUUGACAAUUUGACCUCAAAUCAGGUAGGACUACCCGCUGAACUUAA
RNAcentral lists this unclassified non-coding RNA (294 nucleotides) under uncultured Coprinellus. Its description in RNAcentral is "sequence contains ITS2". The stretch from base 1 to 52 matches the Rfam family "5.8S ribosomal RNA", at positions 103 to 154 of the family's 154-position model. The record is from RNAcentral. Lineage: Eukaryota; Fungi; Basidiomycota; Agaricomycetes; Agaricales; Psathyrellaceae.